AUUUGAGUAGUUUAAUAAAAAAUUAUGGUUUGUGGGGCCACCGAAGGAGCUUAUUUACUCCCUUAAAUA
Molecule: transfer RNA, 69 nt
Filed under: Atelura formicaria
Lineage: Eukaryota; Metazoa; Arthropoda; Insecta; Zygentoma; Nicoletiidae
Description: tRNA-His
Source: RNAcentral